This 881-nucleotide ribosomal RNA is filed under the name Xanthoparmelia coreana. RNAcentral describes it as "eukaryotic LSU rRNA". It matches the Rfam family "Eukaryotic large subunit ribosomal RNA", at positions 1 to 895 of the family's 3401-position model. The record is from RNAcentral. Lineage: Eukaryota; Fungi; Ascomycota; Lecanoromycetes; Lecanorales; Parmeliaceae.
UUGACCUCGGAUCAGGUAGGGAUACCCGCUGAACUUAAGCAUAUCAAUAAGCGGAGGAAAAGAAACCAACAGGGAUUGCCUCAGUAACGGCGAGUGAAGCGGCAACAGCUCAAAUUUGAAAUCUGGCUCCUUCGGGGUCCGAAUUGUAAUUUGUAGAGAGUGCUUCGGGCGAGACCUCGGUCUAAGUCCAUUGGAACAUGGUGUCAUAGAGGGUGAGAAUCCCGUAUGCGACCGUGGCUCGAGCCCAUGUGAAGCCUCUUCGACGAGUCGAGUUGUUUGGGAAUGCAGCUCAAAAUGGGUGGUAAAUUUCAUCUAAAGCUAAAUACUGGCUGGAGACCGAUAGCGCACAAGUAGAGUGAUCGAAAGAUGAAAAGCACUUUGGAAAGAGAGUCAAACAGUACGUGAAAUUGUUGAAAGGGAAGCGCUUGCAACCAGACCUGCCCGUAGGCGAUCCGCCGCUGUUCUCAGCGGUGUACUCGCUCUGCGAUCAGGCCAGCAUCGGUUUCGGCGGUCGGAUAAAGGCCUUGGGAAUGUAGCUUCCCCUCGGGGGAGUCUUAUAGCCCUCGGUGUAAUGCGGCCAGCUGGGACCGAGGACCGCGCUUCGGCUAGGAUGCUGGCGUAAUGGUUGUAAGCGACCCGUCUUGAAACACGGACCAAGGAGUCUAACAUCUAUGCGAGUGUUUGGGUGUCAAACCCAUACGCGAAAUGAAAGUGAACGGAGGUGAGAACCCUUAAGGGCGCAUCAUCGACCGAUCCAGAUGUCUUCGGAUGGAUUUGAGUAUGAGCAUAGCUGUUGGGACCCGAAAGAUGGUGAACUAUGCCUGAAUAGGGUGAAGCCAGAGGAAACUCUGGUGGAGGCUCGCAGCGGUUCUGAACGUGCA